Molecule: ribosomal RNA, 443 nt
Filed under: uncultured bacterium
Lineage: Bacteria
Description: partial 16S ribosomal RNA
Rfam family: Bacterial small subunit ribosomal RNA
Source: RNAcentral
CCUACGGGGGGCAGCAGUGGGGAAUAUUGGGCAAUGGGCGCAAGCCUGACCCAGCAACGCCGCGUGAAGGAAGAAGGCUUUCUGGUUGUCAACUUCUUUUCUAAGGGACGAAGCAAGUGACGGUACCUGAGGAAUAAGCCACGGCUAACUACGUGCCAGCAGCCGCGGUAAUACGGAGGUGGCAAGCGUGAUCCGGAUUUAAUGGGUGUAAAGGGCGUGUAGGCGGGACUGCAAGUCAGAUGUGAAAACCAUGGGCUCAACCUAUGGCCUGCAUUUGAAACUGUAGUUCUUGAGUACUGGAGAGGCAGACGGAAUUCCUAGUGUAGCGGUGAAAUGCGUAGAUAUUAGGAGGAACACCAGGGGCGAAGGCGGUCUGCUGGACAGCAACUGACGCUGAGGCGCGAAAGCGUGGGGAGCAAACAGGAUUAGAUACCCUUGUAGUC